This 253-nucleotide ribosomal RNA is filed under the name uncultured bacterium. RNAcentral's name for it is "partial 16S ribosomal RNA". It matches the Rfam family "Bacterial small subunit ribosomal RNA", at positions 524 to 776 of the family's 1533-position model. The record is from RNAcentral.
UACGAAUGGAGCAAGCGUUGUUCGGAAUCACUGGGCUUAAAGCGUGCGCAGGCGGACAAGAAAGUCAGAAGUGAAAGCCCCGGGCUUAACCCGGGAACUGCUUUUGAAACUCCUUGUCUAGAAUUCUGGAGAGGAUAGGAGAAUUCCGAGUGUAGAGGUGAAAUUCGCAGAUAUUCGGAGGAAUACCAGUGGCGUAGGCGCCUAUCUGGACAGACAUUGACGCUCAGGCACGAAAGCGUGGGGAGCAAACAGG